GGGGGGGGGGGGGGGGGGGCUGGGGGGGUGCGGGUCGGAGGGGGGGGGGUGCUUUCCCUUGGGGAUGGCGGGUACUGGGGUGGGGAAGGGGUGAGUAACACGUGCGUGGUCUGCCCGCAACUUGGGUAUCAGCCUGGGAACGUGGGUCUGCUUCCCGAUCGGGCUGCAGGGUGGUGCCUGUUGUGGAAGACGAUUGUCUAGUGGCUGGGGAUGCGCUCGCGGCCUAUCAGCUUGUUGGUGGGGUAAUGGCCUGCCAAGGCGGCGACGGGUAGCCGGCCUGGGAGCGUGGACGACCACAGUGGGACUGAGAUACGGCCCAGACUCCUACGGGAGGCAGCAGUGGGGAAUAUUGCACAAUGGGCGGAAGCCUGAGGCAGCGACGCCGCGUGGGGGAUGACGGCCUUCGGGUUGUAAACUCCUUUCGACCGCGAGGAAGCCACCUGGUUGGAAGGGUGGUGACGGUAGUGGUAGAAGAAGCACCGGCUAACUACGUG
RNAcentral lists this ribosomal RNA (494 nucleotides) under uncultured bacterium. RNAcentral describes it as "partial 16S ribosomal RNA". It matches the Rfam family "Bacterial small subunit ribosomal RNA", at positions 38 to 507 of the family's 1533-position model. The record is from RNAcentral.